RNAcentral lists this ribosomal RNA (576 nucleotides) under Triticum aestivum (bread wheat). RNAcentral's name for it is "partial small subunit ribosomal RNA". Lineage: Eukaryota; Viridiplantae; Streptophyta; Magnoliopsida; Poales; Poaceae. The record is from RNAcentral.
AUGGACGCCCCGCAAAAGAAGGCUAGAUCCAUGGACAAGGACGGCAAGAUGCCUCCGCUGCCUCUGACUGUGGGCAAGAAGAAGACGGCGUCUCCGUGCCCGGAUACUGUCCGGCUGGUCAGCCAGUGGACACUCUCCACCGCCUGCUUCUUCCUCGUCGUCUUUGCAGUAACCCAGACUCUCGACCACUACCACGUCCCCGUUCCCUGCAGCCCGUCCUCGCUCGUUCUGCGGUGCGUCGAGCUGACGGACGCGGGGGCCGUUGAGGCAGCCAACGCCGCCGCGGAAAGCGCCGGCUGGAUCGGGAUGCUGUGGUGCGGCACGGCACAGGCGGCCGCGGCGGCGCUGGCGCUGCAUCUCCCAUGCCGCUACCGCCGGGUCCGCCGCGCCCUCGCCUACCUCGCGCUCGCGCUCGCCAUCGUCGGCCACAGCUUGUACGCCCGCGCCACCGUCCUCCUCUACGCCGCCGACCCAGGGUCCCUCUUCGCGGUGAUCGGCUGGACCCUGAUCAUAGCCUUCUUGGCGGUGGUCGACCUCCUCUGCUUCCUGGUCCUCGUCAUGGGACGUGAGGCGUAG